AGAACGAACGCUGGCGGCAGGCCUAACACAUGCAAGUCGAACGCCUCAGCAAUGGGGAGUGGCAGACGGGUGAGUAACACGUGGGAACGUACCCUUCGGUUCGGGAUAACUCAGGGAAACUUGAGCUAAUACCGGAUACGUCCGAGAGGAGAAAGGUUUACUGCCGAAGGAUCGGCCCGCGUCUGAUUAGCUAGUUGGUGAGGUAAUGGCUCACCAAGGCGACGAUCAGUAGCUGGUCUGAGAGGAUGAUCAGCCACAUUGGGACUGAGACACGGCCCAAACUCCUACGGGAGGCAGCAGUGGGGAAUAUUGGACAAUGGGCGCAAGCCUGAUCCAGCCAUGCCGCGUGAGUGAUGAAGGCCCUAGGGUUGUAAAGCUCUUUUACCUGGGAAGAUAAUGACUGUACCAGGAGAAUAAGCCCCGGCUAACUUCGUGCCAGCAGCCGC
Molecule: ribosomal RNA, 446 nt
Filed under: uncultured bacterium
Lineage: Bacteria
Description: SSU rRNA
Rfam family: Bacterial small subunit ribosomal RNA
Source: RNAcentral